AGUGAACGCUGGCGGUAGGCCUAACACAUGCAAGUCGAACGGCAGCACAGUAAGAGCUUGCUCUUACGGGUGGCGAGUGGCGGACGGGUGAGGAAUACAUCGGAAUCUACUUUUUCGUGGGGGAUAACGUAGGGAAACUUACGCUAAUACCGCAUACGACCUACGGGUGAAAGCAGGGGAUCUUCGGACCUUGCGCGAUUGAAUGAGCCGAUGUCGGAUUAGCUAGUUGGCGGGGUAAAGGCCCACCAAGGCGACGAUCCGUAGCUGGUCUGAGAGGAUGAUCAGCCACACUGAAACUGAGACACGGUCCAGACUCCUACGGGAGGCAGCAGUGGGGAAUAUUGGACAAUGGGCGCAAGCCUGAUCCAGCCAUACCGCGUGGGUGAAGAAGGCCUUCGGGUUGUAAAGCCCUUCUGUUGGGAAAGAAAAGCAGCAGGUUAAUACCCCGCUGUUCUGACGGUACCCAAAGAAUAAGCACCGGCUAACUUCGUG
RNAcentral lists this ribosomal RNA (492 nucleotides) under uncultured bacterium. RNAcentral's name for it is "partial 16S ribosomal RNA". It matches the Rfam family "Bacterial small subunit ribosomal RNA", at positions 29 to 507 of the family's 1533-position model. The record is from RNAcentral.